CACCGCGGUUAUACGAGAGGCCCAAGUUGACAGACAGCGGCGUAAAGGGUGGUUAGGGAGACACAUCAACUAAAGCCGAAGGCCGUCAAGGCCGUGAUACGCCCCUUCGAUGGCACGAAGACCAACUACGAAAGUGGCUUUACUUAGCCUGACCCCACAAAAGCUGAGGAA
Molecule: ribosomal RNA, 171 nt
Filed under: Bothus lunatus (plate fish)
Lineage: Eukaryota; Metazoa; Chordata; Actinopteri; Pleuronectiformes; Bothidae
Description: partial 12S rRNA
Source: RNAcentral